GCAGUGGUGGGUCAGUGGUAGAAUUCUCGCCUUCCGUGCAGGAGACCUGGGUUUGAUUCCCGGCCAAUGCA
This 71-nucleotide transfer RNA is filed under the name Loxodonta africana (African savanna elephant). It matches the Rfam family "tRNA". From Rfam's summary of the family: Transfer RNA (tRNA) molecules are approximately 80 nucleotides in length. Their secondary structure includes four short double-helical elements and three loops (D, anti-codon, and T loops). Further hydrogen bonds mediate the characteristic L-shaped molecular structure. tRNAs have two regions of fundamental functional importance: the anti-codon, which is responsible for specific mRNA codon recognition, and the 3' end, to which the tRNAs corresponding amino acid is attached (by aminoacyl-tRNA synthetases). tRNAs cope with the degeneracy of the genetic code in two manners: having more than one tRNA (with a specific anti-codon) for a particular amino acid; and 'wobble' base-pairing, i.e. permitting non-standard base-pairing at the 3rd anti-codon position. Lineage: Eukaryota; Metazoa; Chordata; Mammalia; Proboscidea; Elephantidae. The record is from Rfam by way of RNAcentral.